This 253-nucleotide ribosomal RNA is filed under the name uncultured bacterium. RNAcentral's name for it is "partial 16S ribosomal RNA". It matches the Rfam family "Bacterial small subunit ribosomal RNA", at positions 524 to 776 of the family's 1533-position model. The record is from RNAcentral.
UACGUAGGGGGCAAGCGUUAUCCGGAUUUACUGGGUGUAAAGGGGGCGCAGACGGCGAUGCAAGCCAGAUGUGAAAGCCCGGGGCUCAACCCCGGGACUGCAUUUGGAACUGUAUAGCUAGAGUGUCGGAGAGGCAGGCGGAAUUCCUAGUGUAGCGGUGAAAUGCGUAGAUAUUAGGAGGAACACCAGUGGCGAAGGCGGCCUGCUGGACGAUGACUGACACUGAGGCUCGAAAGCGUGGGGAGCAAACAGG